Molecule: non-coding RNA, 45 nt
Filed under: Schistosoma haematobium
Lineage: Eukaryota; Metazoa; Platyhelminthes; Trematoda; Strigeidida; Schistosomatidae
Source: RNAcentral
AUUCAGAUAACAAGUCUCAAAUUGGACGAAACGCGCGUCCUGGAU